AGAAUAAGCACCGGCUAACUACGUGCCAGCAGCCGCGGUAAUACGUAGGGUGCAAGCGUUAAUCGGAAUUACUGGGCGUAAAGCGUGCGCAGGCGGCUUUGUAAGACGGAUGUGAAAGCCCCGGGCUCAACCUGGGAAGUGCAUUCGUGACUGCAAGGCUAGAGUGUGUCAGAGGGAGGUGGAAUUCCGCGUGUAGCAGUGAAAUGCGUAGAGAUGCGGAGGAACACCGAUGGCGAAGGCAGCCUCCUGGGAUAACACUGACGCUCAGGCACGAAAGCGUGGGGAGCAAACAGGAUUAGAUACCCUGGUAGUCCACGCCCUAAACGAUGUCAACUAGUUGUCGGGGAUUCAUUUCCUUGGUAACGCAGCUAACGCGUGAAGUUGACCGCCUGGGGAGUACGGCCGCAAGGUUAAAACUCAAAGGAAUUGACGGGGACCCGCACAAGCGGUGGAUGAUGUGGAUUAAUUCGAUGCAACGCGAAAAACCUUACCUACGCUUGACAUGUCAGGAACCCUGAAGAGAUUUAGGGGUACCCGAAAGGGAACCUGAACACAGGUGCUGCAUGGCUGUCGUCAGCUCGUGUCGUGAGGUGUUGGGUUAAGUCCCGCAACGAGCGCAACCCUUAUCAUUAGUUGCUACGCAAGGGCACUCUAAUGAGACUGCCGGUGACAAACCGGAGGAAGGUGGGGAUGACGUCAAGUCCUCAUGGCCCUUAUGCGUAGGGCUUCACACGUCAUACAAUGGUCGGUACAGAGGGUUGCCAACCCGCGAGGGGGAGCCAAUUCCAUAAAGCCGAUCGUAGUCCGGAUUGCAGUCUGCAACUCGACUGCAUGAAGUCGGAAUCG
Molecule: ribosomal RNA, 846 nt
Filed under: uncultured bacterium
Lineage: Bacteria
Description: bacterial SSU rRNA
Rfam family: Bacterial small subunit ribosomal RNA
Source: RNAcentral